Molecule: ribosomal RNA, 389 nt
Filed under: uncultured bacterium
Lineage: Bacteria
Description: bacterial SSU rRNA
Rfam family: Bacterial small subunit ribosomal RNA
Source: RNAcentral
AUUGAACGCUGGCGGCAUGCUUUACACAUGCAAGUCGAACGGCAGCACGGGUGCUUGCACCUGGUGGCGAGUGGCGGACGGGUGAGUAAUGCAUCGGAACGUGUCCUAAAGUGGGGGAUAACGCAUCGAAAGAUGUGCUAAUACCGCAUAUUCUCUGAGGAGGAAAGUAGGGGAUCGAAAGACCUUAUGCUUUUGGAGCGGCCGAUGUCUGAUUAGCUAGUUGGUAGGGUAAUGGCUUACCAAGGCGACGAUCAGUAGUUGGUCUGAGAGGACGACCAGCCACACUGGGACUGAGACACGGCCCAGACUCCUACGGGAGGCAGCAGUGGGGAAUUUUGGACAAUGGGCGCAAGCCUGAUCCAGCAAUGCCGCGUGAGUGAAGAAGGCCU